Molecule: ribosomal RNA, 497 nt
Filed under: uncultured bacterium
Lineage: Bacteria
Description: partial 16S ribosomal RNA
Rfam family: Bacterial small subunit ribosomal RNA
Source: RNAcentral
GAUGAACGCUGGCGGCGUGCCUAAUACAUGCAAGUCGAGCGAACGGACGAGAAGCUUGCUUCUCUGAUGUUAGCGGCGGACGGGUGAGUAACACGUGGAUAACCUACCUAUAAGACUGGGCUAACUUCGGGAAACCGGAGCUAAUACCGGAUAAUAUUUUGAACCGCAUGGUUCAAAAGUGAAAGACGGUCUUGCUGUCACUUAUAGAUGGAUCCGCGCUGCAUUAGCUAGUUGGUAAGGUAACGGCUUACCAAGGCAACGAUGCAUAGCCGACCUGAGAGGGUGAUCGGCCACACUGGAACUGAGACACGGUCCAGACUCCUACGGGAGGCAGCAGUAGGGAAUCUUCCGCAAUGGGCGAAAGCCUGACGGAGCAACGCCGCGUGAGUGGUGAAGGUCCUCGGAUCGUAAAACUCUGUUAUUAGGGAAGAACAUAUGUGUAAGUAACUGUGCACAUCUUGACGGUACCUAAUCAGAAAGCCACGGCUAACUACGUG